UACAGAGGGGGCCAGCGUUAUUCGGAAUUAUUGGGCGUAAAGGGCGCGUAGGCGGCCAUGCGUGUCUUCCGUGAAAUCCCUCGGCUCAACCGAGGACGUGCGGAAGAAACUGCAAGGCUCGAGUCCGGAAGAGGGGGGCGGAAUUCCCAGUGUAGCGGUGAAAUGCGUAGAUAUUGGGAGGAACACCAGUGGCGAAGGCGGUCCCCUGGGCCGGAACUGACGCUGAUGCGCGAAAGCGUGGGUAGCAAACGGG
Molecule: ribosomal RNA, 253 nt
Filed under: uncultured bacterium
Lineage: Bacteria
Description: partial 16S ribosomal RNA
Rfam family: Bacterial small subunit ribosomal RNA
Source: RNAcentral